AAAAUUCAACAACGGAUCUCUUGGUUCUGGCAUCGAUGAGAACGCAGCGAAAUGCGAUAAGUAAUGUGGAAUGCAGAAUUCAGUGAAUCAUCGAACUUUGAACGCACAUUGCGCCCCUCGGUAUUCCGGGGGCAUGCUGUUCAGAGCGUCUU
This 152-nucleotide ribosomal RNA is filed under the name Biatora ocelliformis. RNAcentral describes it as "5.8S ribosomal RNA". It matches the Rfam family "5.8S ribosomal RNA". From Rfam's summary of the family: 5.8S ribosomal RNA (5.8S rRNA) is a component of the large subunit of the eukaryotic ribosome. The record is from RNAcentral. Lineage: Eukaryota; Fungi; Ascomycota; Lecanoromycetes; Lecanorales; Ramalinaceae.